Long non-coding RNA from Lycium barbarum (goji berry), 710 nucleotides. RefSeq lists it as uncharacterized. The record is from RefSeq and is a predicted model, not a curated record. Lineage: Eukaryota; Viridiplantae; Streptophyta; Magnoliopsida; Solanales; Solanaceae. The transcript is spliced from 3 exons.
UUGACACUUAGAAAAGAAAAAAAAAGGGGAAAGUUAAAGACCUCUCCUUGGAGGUUCACGGCCAACACCAAGAAAAAUCAACCUCCAUUUCUUGUCCUUCCAAAAAUAUUUUGUUGAUGCUAACCCACUAUAUUAAGGUCCCUAAGUAGAGUGGAAGCAUCAUUGGAACGAUCAACCUAUUAAUUUUUCAUCUUUUGGAAAACCCUAGCCUAUUGGAAGUUGAAGAGAAAAAGACCUUGGGGAGCCCAAGGCGUAGAUUGGAUAUUUACUUAAGAUUGGCUAUCUUGAGUGCGUUCGAGGUACAGACGCACAGUUCGGUGAUCCCCCAGUGUAGGAUACCCCUUUUGCUGUUGGAGUGCUCCCCUCCCUUCAGAGCACAUCUUUUGGUAUACACUUUUGUUCGUUAUGUUGUAUAUAUUCGUUCAUGGGUACGGCGGGGCCCUGUUCCGCCAUAUGAUUCGUUUGGUCUGCUUAGAGGUCUGUAGACUUAUUUGUGGGUGUGUGUGCCUACUUCUGUGCAGUUGUGUCCAUAUGAUCUCCUUCGUUAUGGCAGCCUUGUCGGCAUGCAUUAUGUAUAUGUUUAUGGCAGCCUUGUCGGCUCGCACAUGUAUAUGUUGUUCUGUUGGCCCUGUGUGGCCUUUGUGGUAUUUGCUGUGUACAGAGUUAUUUUGGAUAGUCCGAAAAACAAAGGAAACUCUACCGAAAUUUUU